UAGGGAAUAUUAGUAAUGGGCGAAAGCCUGAACUAGCAACGCCGCGUGUGCGAAGAAGGCCUUCGGGUUGUAAAGCACUUUUUGAGAGGAUGAGGAAGGACGGUACUCUCAGAAUAAGUCUCGGCUAACUACGUGCCAGCAGCCGCGGUAACACGUAGGAGGCAAACGUAAUCGGAAUUUCUUGGCGGUAAAGCGCGUGUAGGUGGUUUGGUAAGUAGGGCGUGAAAGCUCCUGGCUCAACUGGGAGAGGCCGUUCUAAACUGCCGAACUAGAGGAUGGUAGAGGGAGGUGGAAUUCCGGGUGUAGCGGUGGAAUGCGCAGAUAUCCGGAGGAACACCAGUGGCGAAAGCGGCCUCCUGGACCAUUCCUGACACUCAGACGCGAAAGCUAGGGUAGCAAACGG
RNAcentral lists this ribosomal RNA (403 nucleotides) under uncultured bacterium. RNAcentral's name for it is "bacterial SSU rRNA". It matches the Rfam family "Bacterial small subunit ribosomal RNA", at positions 355 to 775 of the family's 1533-position model. The record is from RNAcentral.